This 754-nucleotide ribosomal RNA is filed under the name uncultured Arcobacter sp. RNAcentral describes it as "bacterial SSU rRNA". It matches the Rfam family "Bacterial small subunit ribosomal RNA", at positions 97 to 871 of the family's 1533-position model. Lineage: Bacteria; Pseudomonadati; Campylobacterota; Epsilonproteobacteria; Campylobacterales; Arcobacteraceae. The record is from RNAcentral.
GGCGGACGGGUGAGUAAUAUAUAGGUAAUGUGCCCUAGAGAGGGGGAUAACAGUUGGAAACGACUGCUAACACCCCAUAUGCCUUUAAGACAAAAGUCUGCAAGGGAAAUAUUUAUAGCUCUAGGAUCGGCCUGUACGGUAUCAGCUAGUUGGUGAGGUAAUGGCUCACCAAGGCAAUGACGCCUAACUGGUUUGAGAGGAUGAUCAGUCACACUGGAACUGAGACACGGUCCAGACUCCUACGGGAGGCAGCAGUGGGGAAUAUUGCACAAUGGGGGAAACCCUGAUGCAGCAACGCCGCGUGGAGGAUGACACAUUUCGGUGCGUAAACUCCUUUUAUAUAGGAAGAUAAUGACGGUACUAUAUGAAUAAGCGCCGGCUAACUCCGUGCCAGCAGCCGCGGUAAUACGGAGGGCGCAAGCGUUACUCGGAAUCACUGGGCGUAAAGAGCGUGUAGGCGGGUUAAUAAGUUUGAAGUGAAAUCCUAUGGCUCAACCAUAGAACUGCUUUGAAAACUGUUAACCUAGAAUAUGGGAGAGGUAGAUGGAAUUUCCGGUGUAGGGGUAAAAUCCGUAGAGAUCAGAAGGAAUACCGAUUGCGAAGGCGAUCUACUGGAACAUUAUUGACGCUGAGACGCGAAAGCGUGGGGAGCAAACAGGAUUAGAUACCCUGGUAGUCCACGCCCUAAACGAUGUACACUAGUUGUUGUGAGGCUAGACCUUGCAGUAAUGCAGUAAACACAUUAAGUGUACCG